UCAGGCCUAACACAUGCAAGUCGAACGGCAGCACGGGAGCAAUCCUGGUGGCGAGUGGCGAACGGGUGAGUAAUACAUCGGAACGUGCCCAAUCGUGGGGGAUAACGCAGCGAAAGCUGUGCUAAUACCGCAUACGAUCUACGGAUGAAAGCAGGGGACCGCAAGGCCUUGCGCGAAUGGAGCGGCCGAUGGCAGAUUAGGUAGUUGGUGAGGUAAAGGCUCACCAAGCCUUCGAUCUGUAGCUGGUCUGAGAGGACGACCAGCCACACUGGGACUGAGACACGGCCCAGACUCCUACGGGAGGCAGCAGUGGGGAAUUUUGGACAAUGGGCGAAAGCCUGAUCCAGCAAUGCCGCGUGCAGGAUGAAGGCCUUCGGGUUGUAAACUGCUUUUGUACGGAACGAAACGGUUCUUUCUAAUAAAGAGAGCUAAUGACGGUACCGUAAGAAUAAGC
This 454-nucleotide ribosomal RNA is filed under the name Variovorax sp. KU11. Its description in RNAcentral is "bacterial SSU rRNA". It matches the Rfam family "Bacterial small subunit ribosomal RNA", at positions 42 to 491 of the family's 1533-position model. Lineage: Bacteria; Pseudomonadati; Pseudomonadota; Betaproteobacteria; Burkholderiales; Comamonadaceae. The record is from RNAcentral.